This 315-nucleotide long non-coding RNA is filed under the name Panax ginseng (ginseng). Its description in RNAcentral is "long non-coding RNA (PGIN_LNC009174)". Lineage: Eukaryota; Viridiplantae; Streptophyta; Magnoliopsida; Apiales; Araliaceae. The record is from RNAcentral.
UGGAGGAAUAAGGAUGACUUGGAAUAUAUACAAUCUUUAUAAGUCAUAAAGUCAUAGAAAUCAUAAGGGUUGAUGUAUGUUUAAAUCAUUAAAAUAUUGAUUGUUGAGGUUGAUUGUUGAUGAACAAUUAAACUCCAUCAAUACUUAAAUAUGUGCAUCUUGCUUGGUUAGGAUGUAGAUAUGAAAUCAAUGGAGUAUUCUAUGUGAUUUGUCUUAUAGAACAUUAGUAACGAAGUUAUGGCGAAUUUCACGAAAAUUGACGUUAAACGUCGAAAACGUAGAAAUUACGGAUUAAUAGUCGAAAGUUGUCGUGAG